RNAcentral lists this ribosomal RNA (254 nucleotides) under uncultured bacterium. RNAcentral describes it as "partial 16S ribosomal RNA". It matches the Rfam family "Bacterial small subunit ribosomal RNA", at positions 524 to 776 of the family's 1533-position model. The record is from RNAcentral.
UACGUAGGGUGCAAGCGUUAAUCGGAAUUACUGGGCGUAAAGCGUGCGCAGGCGGUUGUGCAAGACAGAUGUGAAAUCCCCGGGCUCAACCUGGGAAUUGCAUUUGUGACUGCACGGCUAGAGUGUGUCAGAGGGGGGUAGAAUUCCACGUGUAGCAGUGAAAUGCGUAGAGAUGUGGAGGAAUACCGAUGGCGAAGGCAGCCCCCCUGGGAUAACACUGACGCUCAUGCACGAAAGCGUGGGGAGCAAACAGG